Molecule: ribosomal RNA, 441 nt
Filed under: uncultured bacterium
Lineage: Bacteria
Description: bacterial SSU rRNA
Rfam family: Bacterial small subunit ribosomal RNA
Source: RNAcentral
UGAGGAAUAUUGGACAAUGGAGGCAACUCUGAUCCAGCCAUGCCGCGUGAAGGACUAAGGCCCUAUGGGCUGUAAACUUCUUUAGACGCAGAGCAAUAAGGGCCACGCGUGGUCCGAUGAGAGUAUGCGUAGAAUAAGCAUCGGCUAACUCCGUGCCAGCAGCCGCGGUAAUACGGGGGAUGCGAGCGUUAUCCGGAUUUAUUGGGUUUAAAGGGUGCGUAGGCGGACUUUCAAGUCAGCGGUAAAAUUUCCGGGCUUAACCUGGUUGUGCCGUUGAAACUGAGAGACUGGAGUGCGCUUGAGGUAGGCGGAAUGCGUUGUGUAGCGGUGAAAUGCAUAGAUAUGACGCAGAACUCCGAUUGCGAAGGCAGCUUACCAAAUCGCUACUGACGCUGAGGCACGAAAGCGUGGGGAUCGAACAGGAUUAGAUACCCUGGUAGU